This 412-nucleotide ribosomal RNA is filed under the name uncultured bacterium. RNAcentral's name for it is "bacterial SSU rRNA". It matches the Rfam family "Bacterial small subunit ribosomal RNA", at positions 28 to 419 of the family's 1533-position model. The record is from RNAcentral.
GAUGAACGCUGGCGGCGUGCCUAACACAUGCAAGUCGAGCGAGAAGCUUAUGACUGAUACUUCGGUUGAGAGAUUAAGUGGAAAGCGGCGGACGGGUGAGUAACGCGUAGGCAACCUGCCCUUUGCAGAGGGAUAGCCUCGGGAAACCGGGAUUAAAACCUCAUGACACUGUGUAUCCGCAUGGAUAGACGGUCAAAGAUUUAUCGGCAAAGGAUGGGCCUGCGUCUGAUUAGUUAGUUGGUGGGGUAACGGCCUACCAAGGCGACGAUCAGUAGCCGACUUGAGAGGGUGAACGGCCACAUUGGGAACUGAGACACGGUCCAAACUCCUACGGGAGGCAGCAGUGGGGAAUAUUGCACAAUGGGGGAAACCCCUGGGUAGCAGCAACGCCGCGUGAGCGAAGAAGGCCUUU